CUGCCUCCUGCUCUGCUGCACCUACAAGCUACUUGCUAUUCCAGUCCCUCCCCCUACAGGACAUGGAUGCCUACAGGAUCUGUAGAAAGGGACAUCAGAGCAGUGACUGUACCAUAGUUACAAAAGGAUCUUCACUAGACACAGCAUAAAGCCCAGCUUCGCUCUUGGAUCCAGCCACAUUUGCAAUAGACCUGGUCAUAUCAGAUCAAAAACCUGCAAAGUGUGCAAAUGCAGGACAGAGUAAAUCUCCUUUCUCCCACCCCUCACCCCACAGAGCAUAAACUUCAACAUUACCAGCCGUGUCCUUUUCUCCAGACAAGUUUGUAAAAGGCUCCUUGUUCAGUGAACUCUGGAAAUUGAGAGGGGAACAAGCUACUACUUUGUUUUCUGUUUACACCCUGACAUUUAUAAACAAGCGAAAAAUGCAGCCCACUUGUGGAAUAGACAAUAUUCUGCUACUUGGCAAGAAAUAACCCAGUUCAUCAUGAAGACAUGGUAAUAACAUGAGCCAAAUUUCACUCAGACUGCCCUGAAUGUUAUACACCUGCAGCAGGAUCUACCCUAUAGACUUCAGUGGGAUCUACACGUCGGCAGAAAUGGCUGCAAAGGGAUGGGAUUUUGAUGGUGUGAUGUCACAUUGCCUCGCUGAUUACAGGACCAACUAUAAACCUUUGAAAAGUCAAUAUGAUCAUGGAAUGUGCACUGUCUCAAUCCCAGGCCAUCAGCAGGAAAUAAGCCCCUCAGCAACAUGAGGUCUAUAGGCCUGGGGGCUGGAAUCCACAGAUACCUUUUUGAAACUGAUCUCCUCUACCACAGCAGAAAUUGCUGCUGGAAAUGACAAGGCUAGUGAACGGUUCAAGGUUAUCAGACUCUGGUUUUAUUUUUAAAAUGUGCAACUUCUAAUUAAAACUGGCUAGUUUCUGACAUCGCUUUGUUGUUAAUCAGUAAUCAAUCUUCUAAAUUAAGGCAACCAAGUAUCUUUGUUCCAUAUUGCAUUGGUUUAGUCCUGAAGAUAGUGUCUGUCCCUUCCUCUGAGGGACACAUGAGAACACACACAUGCAGAAUCGUCAAGUGGAGGCCCCUACAAUUGCAUCUCAGAAAGCUAUAUCAAUUAUUUGCAGUCAUUUCUAGCAACACCAGAGCACUCAGAUAAGUCUACUUGAAAACAAGCCAUGUCUUUCCAAUUGCAGACUGGGAGUUUUGUAAGCAAAAUGGAGUGUAAGUUCCUUAGACUGGCUCCUGACCCCUCUCCUGAUUGUGCAGAAGUAAAACAGAGAGCUUUUCUGGGAAACAAUUUCUAAUAAUGUCAUACUGUCUAACACCAGUUUCAAAGAGGACUUUGUUAGAGUAAUGGGUUAUAGAUUUACAGGAAUCUAUUUCCCUUUUGCUCCAUUCUCCAAUUUGCUCCCACAUCAAAAAGAUGCAGCUUGAGCAGUGGAAGUGUUGCACGGGUGCUCAUAGACAUGGAUAAGCUACCAUUUUCAU
Molecule: long non-coding RNA, 1485 nt
Organism: Mauremys reevesii (Reeves's turtle)
Lineage: Eukaryota; Metazoa; Chordata; Testudines; Geoemydidae
Exons: 5
Source: RefSeq, a predicted model, not a curated record